UGACGAAGAAAACGAGUUUGGACUCGUUAUUAAGAGGUUCAAAAAGUUCAUACGCAAGGAGUAUGAACGAAAAGGGAAGCGGCUAGGCGGCCCACUAAAAUGCUACGGAUGCGGGGAACUUGGACACAUCAAACCAAACUGUCCAAAUGUAAAGAAGGAGAAGAAGCCCGAGAAGAAGCAACGGGCAUACAUCUCGUGGGCAGGCCACUCAGGAGACGAGUCAAGCGACGGAGAAGAAGAAACUGCAAACUUGUGUCUUAUGGCACAUGAAGAACCGCAUAACGAGGUAAGUAGCAAUUCUAAAAAUAUUUUUUCUUUAGAAGAAAUGCGAGAUGCCUUUGAUGAGCUUUACGUUGAAUUUAUUAAUGCUUCAAUAAUUAUAAAAGAUUUGAGAAAUCAACUUUCUGUAAAAGAAAAAGAUAUUGAAAAAUUAAAUCUGGA
RNAcentral lists this long non-coding RNA (441 nucleotides) under Nicotiana benthamiana. Its description in RNAcentral is "long non-coding RNA (NBEN_LNC021437)". The record is from RNAcentral. Lineage: Eukaryota; Viridiplantae; Streptophyta; Magnoliopsida; Solanales; Solanaceae.